UGGGGAAUAUUGCACAAUGGAGGAAACUCUGAUGCAGCAACGCCGCGUGAACGAAGAAGGCUUUCGGGUCGUAAAGUUCUGUUAUAGGGGAAGAAGAAGUGACGGUACCCUAUGAGAAAGCCACGGCUAAUUACGUG
This 137-nucleotide ribosomal RNA is filed under the name uncultured bacterium. Its description in RNAcentral is "partial 16S ribosomal RNA". It matches the Rfam family "Bacterial small subunit ribosomal RNA", at positions 355 to 507 of the family's 1533-position model. The record is from RNAcentral.